GCCCGAAUAGCUCAGUCGGUAGAGCAGGGGAUUGAAAAUCCCCGUGUCCCUGGUUUCCGGGUUCGGGCACCA
This 72-nucleotide transfer RNA is filed under the name Pantoea agglomerans. RNAcentral's name for it is "tRNA-Phe". It matches the Rfam family "tRNA". Rfam says of the family: Transfer RNA (tRNA) molecules are approximately 80 nucleotides in length. Their secondary structure includes four short double-helical elements and three loops (D, anti-codon, and T loops). The record is from RNAcentral. Lineage: Bacteria; Pseudomonadati; Pseudomonadota; Gammaproteobacteria; Enterobacterales; Erwiniaceae.